UCUUUUCUAAACCAGUAGGUGAUGUAGAAUUUCAAGUUUUAAAUCACAAUGUGAAAAGUGCAUAUUUUUUUUGUUUUUAGGGACUGACCAUGCGUUUCAACAUACCAACUGGGACCAAUUUACCCCCUGUCAGUUUCAACUCUCAAACUCCUUAUAUUCCUUUCAAUUUGGGAGCCCUGUCAGCAAUGAGUAAUCAACAGCUGGAGGACCUCAUUAAUCAAGGAAGAGAAAAAGUCGUAGAAGCAACAAACAGUGUGACAGCAGUGAGGAUUCAACCUCUUGAGGAUAUAAUUUCAGCUGUAUGGAAGGAGAACAUGAAUCUCUCAGAGGCCCAAGUACAGGCGUUAGCAUUAAGUAGACAAGCCAGCCAGGAACUUGAUGUUAAACGAAGAGAAGCAAUCUACAAUGAUGUAUUGACAAAACAACAGAUGUUAAUCAGCUGUGUUCAGCGAAUACUUAUGAACAGAAGGCUCCAGCAGCAGUACAAUCAGCAGCAACAGCAACAAAUGACUUAUCAACAAGCAACACUGGGUCACCUCAUGAUGCCAAAGCCUCCAAAUUUGAUCAUGAAUCCUUCUAA
This 580-nucleotide small RNA is filed under the name Pan troglodytes (chimpanzee). RNAcentral's name for it is "retained intron". The record is from RNAcentral. Lineage: Eukaryota; Metazoa; Chordata; Mammalia; Primates; Hominidae.